AGGUAAGCUCUGAUGCAAUGUUUUCAAAAUCAGUAUAGUCUUCAUGCGCAAAUGGAAGUUUGGAAGAAAUUCUUCUGCAUACAGUUCUUCAAAGCCAAGAUUUUCUGUCAGUCUAGAGACUACAGUACAAAAUUUUGGAAACAACAAAUUGCAGGUGUUUUAUGACUCAGACCAAGAUCCAAAUUUGGCCAUAGUUUUCUAAUUUAACAUAGAGCUGACAAGUCUUGUCUUCUAUAGAUUAAAUUGCUACGUUUCAAUUGGAUUUCAUUGAAGUUGAUCUAGUAUGUAAUUGAAAUUGCAUGAAGUUCCAGCUGAGAUUUAAUUGUGAUAGCAGUGAAGUGAGGGUGGAGGGCUUGGAGACGCUGGACUAUCUUGACAACUUGUGCCAAAGAGAGCGUUUCACUGAGCAAGGAGAUGCCUUAACAUUUGAAUCCGAGGUAACCAAAUUCUAACCUGUAAAAGUUUCCAGCUGCAGGUUGUCAAUAUGCUUGACUAAAUACAGCCCUUAUUGUAUGAACACUAUUCCUUGUAGUAUAUGGGCUUACCAUUCUUCAAUUGGCAAUUUUCUGAAAUAAGCCAACUGAUAACAAUGAGUUCUCAGAAGAACUAUUGGUGUUUUGGGAACUGCACUUGUCAAGAAAAAUCCUGUUACUAUAGCUCGAAGCCAAGUGGAGCUCCAUGUUUGGGCAGGGGGGAGUGACCACCUGAGUGAAUAGAGCUGGGAAAGAACUUGUCAAACAAACACUUCAAGAUCCUAAUAACACGUAUACUUGAUCAUUUGAAGAUUAGAUUCAAAAAAGAAGAAGAAGAAAAUCAAAAUUAGAUAAUUUCAAGGUAUAUAAAACUUCUGCGAAGGAUGGGAUUCUAUUUUCAGCAGGGCUGCAUGCCUUUGGUAUCAAAUUUGCUGCAAAUAUCGUUUUGAGGUUAUCUCGUGUGC
RNAcentral lists this long non-coding RNA (937 nucleotides) under Coffea arabica (coffee). RNAcentral describes it as "long non-coding RNA (CARA_LNC006128)". Lineage: Eukaryota; Viridiplantae; Streptophyta; Magnoliopsida; Gentianales; Rubiaceae. The record is from RNAcentral.